RNAcentral lists this small RNA (2520 nucleotides) under Pongo abelii (Sumatran orangutan). RNAcentral's name for it is "retained intron". Lineage: Eukaryota; Metazoa; Chordata; Mammalia; Primates; Hominidae. The record is from RNAcentral.
GCUCCCGCGCCGCGCCCGGCCGCCUUCAUGUGAAGCGCCGGCCCUCCGCCCCUUCCCUCCCCUUCCUUCCCUCCCUCCCUCCCUGUCCCCUCCUCCUCCUCCUCCGGCGCCCGCUUCAGCUCCCCGGGGCCCCCUGCCCGGCCGGGCGCUGACAGCAAGGGCGGGGGUCCCCGCCGCCGCCGUGUCUCGCGCAGGGUCCGGCUGGGGUAGCGGAGCCCCCCGUGCGGCCAUGGAUCGGCCCCUGUCGUCGUCGGCGGAGGCGGAGGAGGAACUGGAGUGGCAAGUGGCGAGUCGCAGGAGGAAGGCCUGGGCCAAGUGCCGUAGCUCCUGGCAAGCGUCGGAGACGGAGGAUCUGUCCACAGAAGCGACGACGCAGGACGAGGAGGAGGACGAGGAGGAGGACCUCCCCGGCGCGCAGCUGUCGGCAGCGGGGGGAAGAGGAAACGUGCCCAACGAGAAGAUCGCGAUAUGGCUCAAGGACUGCCGGUGAGUGCUCCCUGGCCCGCCCGCGUCCCGGGGGAGAUCCGUGCGGACGGGACGCCGGAGCAGAGCCACUCGGGCCGCGUCCCUGUGGGUCCCGCGACCGUUGUAAGCUACAAACCGGAAAGUGAGCCGGCGGAUAGCUUCCUCCUCUAAGCGAUUAGAAAUGGAAGUGCUGUGACCGCUGAUUAUUUGGUGACCGUGUUGACUUUACAGUUAAACUUGAGCUGCUAACGCAUCGUGUUAGCAUCAGAGAUCAGAAAUCCAAAACAGAUAAUCAUGCCGUAUUUGUUCUGUUUUUAUUUGAAAGAAUUCUCACAUCUCACAGGAUAUUUUAUUUUGCUUUAGUUUUGGCAUCUGUACAACUGGCACGGAAUCAUUUUCCUUUCAAAUGUGUUUUAGACGAGUUUAAUUUACCAACUACACUAAAUGGGCUUUAAUUUUAUUUCUGUUUGGGGAGCUAUUAAAACUAGCUAACUUUGUACUUAUAGUUUACUUCUUGAACAUGGAAUCGUCAGAUGGCACUGGAAUUCUCAGGGAAUAGAACUUUUAAAAGCAUUCAGACUGCAUAAAUCUGUUUAAUUACAUGCUUUGGCAACUGGUACAAAAAUGUUUGAUAAAAUACAGAGGAGAUGAAUCAUGUUGCAAGUAAAUCUGACUACAGCAAAAUGUACUUGUUUCUUAUUUUUUCCAGUUUAUUUGCUAGUUGUAAAAUCAGGAAUGUAGCCUUUAAACUUUUGUUGAUGUUUGCUUUCGAGCAUAGUUUUGCCUUUUCAAUUUAGACUUUCUUAAUAUUUUGUUCAAAUAUUAGAGUUAGGGUAGUUUGUUUUGUUUUAUUGUAGAAAGUGAUUCAUAUGCCAGUUUGCCUCCUCUAAAGACAGACAAGAUAUUGGCUACCGUGAUAUUAAAGCCUUGUUUUGAUGAAUCGACUGGAACCUUAUUGAACGCUCUUUAUUACAGAACUCGUACCCUUUAUUGGAAGUGUCAUAGACCCUUCUGAAAUAUGAUGACAUAUAUGGAAUAACUUCUCUUUAAAGAUGCACAGAGGCAAAUACACUGCUUGAAAUCCUUGGACCCCAGAUUUACAAUCUAGCUGUAAAUCAAUCUCCCCGUUUUCAGAUAAGCCUUAGAUAUUAGUUACUUCACUCAAAGUAUGGAUCAAGAAAUUGUAUUAAUGUGCUACUGGUUCAUUUAAUUGUUAAAUACUAAAAUAGUCUAUAAUUUAAAAGCUUGAAAUUUUGAAUAUACAUGUUCAGGACCUUUUGGGUGAGAUCUGAUGAAACUAGUAUCUUUCAGGUUUCCUCUUAGAAAUAUGUCUGAGAAGUUGUUUUGUUACUUUUACUUAAGUCUUUUAAAGCCUCCAAUCUGACUCUUUAUUUAAAUACAGUCCUAAGUACAGUAUUGACUUACUUUAGGUUUCUUAAAAUAGGUUUAGCAUUACAAAUACAUUUAUAAUGUUUUAUUGUUUAAAUUCAAGUGCAUAUUCAAAAGAAUUUUAAAAAUUAACAAGAGAAGAAUCACACUAUAGUUUAAUGACAUAUAGGAUUUAAGAUUGUGUAAGAGAUCCUAUCAAUUAGACAGUAAAUAAGUGCAUCUUUUUUGAGACAAAUGCAGUAGGCAAAUGUUGACAUUCACCAGGGCACAGUCAAUCCCUGACAAUUUCAGAAGUUUUGUUGCCAAUACUGAUUUAUGUGGGCAGAUUCUGUAGUCUGCUGCUCCUUCUCUCAUGGAUUUCCUUCUUGUUCCUACAGUUGCACCUAUUCUACACGAGUGGCAUUCAUUUGUAUCCAGGAAAGCUAGAACAAGUAGUCUUUUAAUCUUAGCUAUAUUAUCACAGAUUCGACUUAGGAUAUGUUGCAUCUGUAUUUUCGUUUUAAAUAGCAACUCAAGUUCCUUCUCAGAGUUGGGCAUCUAUGUAUUUUGUUUAUUGUGUACAAAUGACCUGAAGACAGCAUUUUACCCACUUGAUAAGUUCUCAAAUAGUCUUUGUUUCUUAGUGCCGUCCAUAUCCUGAAUAAAGAUACCGUGUUUUCUUUCCUU